UGGCGGCAGGCUUAACACAUGCAAGUCGAGCGGAUGAAGGGAGCUUGCUCCUGGAUUCAGCGGCGGACGGGUGAGUAAUGCUUAGGAAUCUGCCUAUUAGUGGGGGACAACAGUUGGAAACGACUGCUAAUACCGCAUACGCCCUACGGGGGAAAGGAGGGGAUCUUCGGACCUUUCGCUAAUAGAUGAGCCUAAGUCAGAUUAGCUAGUUGGUGGGGUAAAGGCCUACCAAGGCGACGAUCUGUAGCGGGUCUGAGAGGAUGAUCCGCCACACUGGGACUGAGACACGGCCCAGACUCCUACGGGAGGCAGCAGUGGGGAAUAUUGGACAAUGGGGGCAACCCUGAUCCAGCCAUGCCGCGUGUGUGAAGAAGGCCUUUUGGUUGUAAAGCACUUUAAGCGAGGAGGAGGCUCUUCUAGUUAAUACCUAGGAUGAGUGGACGUUACUCGCAGAAUAAGCACCGGCUAACUCUGUGCCAGCAGCCGCGGUAAUACAGAGGGUGCGAGCGUUAAUCGGAUUUACUGGGCGUAAAGCGUACGUAGGCGGCUUUUUAAGUCGGAUGUGAAAUCCCUGAGCUUAACUUAGGAAUUGCAUUCGAUACUGGGAAGCUAGAGUAUGGGAGAGGAUGGUAGAAUUCCAGGUGUAGCGGUGAAAUGCGUAGAGAUCUGGAGGAAUACCGAUGGCGAAGGCAGCCAUCUGGCCUAAUACUGACGCUGAGGUACGAAAGCAUGGGGAGCAAACAGGAUUAGAUACCCUGGUAGUCCAUGCCGUAAACGAUGUCUACUAGCCGUUGGGGCCUUUGAGGCUUUAGUGGCGCAGCUAACGCGAUAAGUAGACCGCCUGGGGAGUACGGUCGCAAGACUAAAACUCAAAUGAAUUGACGGGGGCCCGCACAAGCGGUGGAG
Molecule: ribosomal RNA, 906 nt
Filed under: Acinetobacter gandensis
Lineage: Bacteria; Pseudomonadati; Pseudomonadota; Gammaproteobacteria; Moraxellales; Moraxellaceae
Description: bacterial SSU rRNA
Rfam family: Bacterial small subunit ribosomal RNA
Source: RNAcentral